UUAAACAGCUCAUUAUUCAAUUCAUCUUUUAAUAUAUAAUAUGAGAUUAUGAGUGCUUAACUAUCUUUGAGUAUACUGUAUAUCUAAAUUAAGGGAGUACGUACACAUUUUUCUCAUGUGUCAAAAUUUUGUCCACUUGAUUAAUUCAAGUUAAAAUGGCUGAAUGACGGAAGAGCUGGCGGCAAGUCUUGUUCCAACUUAAAAGUCCAUUAUUCUUAAUUUUGGUGAUGGCUAAGUCUACAAAGGUAUACAUAGUA
Molecule: long non-coding RNA, 257 nt
Filed under: Nicotiana benthamiana
Lineage: Eukaryota; Viridiplantae; Streptophyta; Magnoliopsida; Solanales; Solanaceae
Description: long non-coding RNA (NBEN_LNC037003)
Source: RNAcentral